Molecule: long non-coding RNA, 723 nt
Organism: Peromyscus leucopus (white-footed mouse)
Lineage: Eukaryota; Metazoa; Chordata; Mammalia; Rodentia; Cricetidae
Exons: 2
Source: RefSeq, a predicted model, not a curated record
UGACAGGAAAGGCAAUUUUUCCCUAUUACUACAGGUAUUACCCCAUUAGAAACAUGAAAAAACAAACACUUUUCUACAAUUUGUUCAAGGAAAAUCCCCUUGACUGGUAAUUCUUCUUCUCAUCUACAUAUCAAACAAUGAAUUGUGAAAGUCACACUGAAUGCCUGAUUAAUUGUGUUUGAAACUGAUUUACAUGAAUGUGAAGACAAUGUCCCCUUAUACUCUCCUUAGCACCAGGAUAUACCAACUAAAGAGGAAUAUUCCAUACUUUUCCACCAAAACAGCCUCAUUUGUGGAUAUCAGUAGAGCUGUACAAAUGGUGUCAGUCUCAUGAACGUUGCUAACAUUUUCCCUGUAAUCACUACUUGACAUGUUGUCUUAUCUUCACAGAUGUAGUUAAGGAGAAGAUUAUAUCUUCUUGCAGAAAAGUUCAUGGAAUUUUUAAAUGCCUGUUUAUUAUCAGAAGCAUUAAUGAAGAAGUAAAACAUUAGCGAUGCAUUUGGCAGAAGAUACAGAUUCCUGUUGAUUUCGUCCACAGCAAAAGCCAAGGGCAGAGCAAACUGGAAGUUUUGAGUUGACCUGAGACUUGAGUUGAAGGAAUUGAUGAAGACAACUCCCUCAAGACAAUGUGCUCCCAAAGUUCCUCACUCUCUGCACACUGUCCAGUUGUGAAUUCCUGUGUUAGUUCCUAUCUACUACAAGAAGAAUCUUCUCUGAUGAAAG